UCGCCUGUUUUUCAAAAACAUGUCCUUUUGAAUUAAAUAUUAGGUCUGGCCUGCCCAUUGAGAAUAGCUUUAAAGGCCGCAGUAUAUUAACUGUGCAAAGGUAGCAUAAUCAUUAGUUUUUUAAUUGAAAACUGGAAUGAAAGGUUUAACAAGGAAUUAACUGUUUCAUAUAAAUUAUUAGAAUUUUAUUUUUUAGUUAAAAAGCUAGAAUUUUGUUUAAAGACGAGAAGACCCUAUAGAUCUUUAUAAUUAAUUAAUUUUUUUUAUUAAGAUUAUUUUAAUAAUAAUUAAUUAUAUUAUUUUGUUGGGGUGAUAUUAAAAUUUAAUAAACUUUUAAUUUGUAUUUCAUUGAUUUAUGUAAAAUUGAUCCUUUAUUAAAGAUUAAUAAAUUAAGUUACCUUAGGGAUAACAGCGUAAUUCUUUUGUAGAGUUCUUAUCGAUAAAAGAGAUUGCGACCUCGAUGUUGGAUUAAGAUAUAUAAUUGGGUGUAGCAUUUCAAUUUUUUAGUCUGUUCGACUAAUAAUUUCUUACAUGAUCUGAGUUCAAACCGGAGA
Molecule: ribosomal RNA, 554 nt
Filed under: Adelodus sp. D046
Lineage: Eukaryota; Metazoa; Arthropoda; Insecta; Diptera; Asilidae
Description: partial 16S ribosomal RNA
Rfam family: Bacterial large subunit ribosomal RNA
Source: RNAcentral